Molecule: transfer RNA, 77 nt
Filed under: Proteus phage Privateer
Lineage: Duplodnaviria; Heunggongvirae; Uroviricota; Caudoviricetes; Grimontviridae
Also listed under: 2 other names
Description: tRNA-Met
Rfam family: tRNA
About the family: Transfer RNA (tRNA) molecules are approximately 80 nucleotides in length. Their secondary structure includes four short double-helical elements and three loops (D, anti-codon, and T loops). Further hydrogen bonds mediate the characteristic L-shaped molecular structure. tRNAs have two regions of fundamental functional importance: the anti-codon, which is responsible for specific mRNA codon recognition, and the 3' end, to which the tRNAs corresponding amino acid is attached (by aminoacyl-tRNA synthetases). tRNAs cope with the degeneracy of the genetic code in two manners: having more than one tRNA (with a specific anti-codon) for a particular amino acid; and 'wobble' base-pairing, i.e. permitting non-standard base-pairing at the 3rd anti-codon position.
Source: RNAcentral
GGCCCUUUAGCUCAGAUGGUUAGAGCGAUCAGCUCAUAACUGAUUGGUCGCUGGUUCAAGUCCAGCAAGGGCCACCA